UUGUAAAUUUCUCAUAUAAGUACAGUAUCUUUUGUAUUGUAGGAGGUCAAUUCAUAUUUGUUAUUAAAUUAUUUUGCUUGAAACUACUCUUGUAUAAUUAUAAAAUUCUCACAAUGUGCAUAUGAGUAGUUGAAAUACUCCAGGAUAAUUGUCUACCUUAUCUUUAUAUUAUCCCUAAUCAUAUUCAACAUUUUCAGUUGUCUUCCUAUACUAAAUAGGUAACCUGCACUUUAUCCCACUUUCUAUUAUUCGAGUAACUAAACUAGUAAGUUGGUGUGUGUUAUACCAGAUCCACAAUCUCUUUUAUUUGAUUUUUGUGUCAAGGGCUAAUAGUUCCUACUCAAUGUCCACUGUUCUCUUCUUUCUUACAGAUUUUAUCGGAGGAGGAAAUGUGCCUACAAAAAAACUGUAUUUCCUAGACUCCUCUCCAGAUGGAGAAACUGAUGCUCGGACAGUUUGGUACCUGAUCCAUGGUAACCCAACUGGGGUGUGGACUCAGGCCCUACUGGACCAUUGAUGGGAGAACCAAGAGGGAAGUACCAUUUUUGAUGUCCCUGGGAGAUUCUAAGAGUCAUCAUCUAAAUAACAGAGUCUAUUGUCAUUCCCUAAAAGUGCACCCCUGCACCUCCAGGCCUGUGCUGAAGCUGCUUCCCUCCCUGGAAGGCUGUUCACCACAUCAGCCCUGUGGAAUCAUCCCCUUCCCUCCCUCCGAGUCCAGCUCAAGCCCCGUCUCCUCUAAGCUGCAUCCCACAGACCCUUGCAGAACGAAUCAAGCUCCCUUCCCUUGUUCUGCAGCAGCAGUUCACCCUGUGCCUCCAGAAAGCAGGGGCCAAUCUUCACCUUUUGUCCUUACAAGUGCCCUGCAGAGUGCAUUGUACAGAGUAGGCAUUUACUGUACUUCCAUUAUUUUCCACAAUAAAAGUCUGUUAUUAAAUGAAAGCAUUUGACUCUCACUGUGUGUUUAUUGGUGUUGAAAUGUGUUACUUAGCCUCUUUGUCUUUGCUUUGUUGAGAAGGAUCUUCUCUCUGUCGUGAUGGGACAGUGAUGCCCAUGGGGGAUGCCACGGACUUUGAGGACCUCCUGUCCCAGCAAGCCUGGCCGCUGUGAUCCGCAGGCUUAUGUUGACAGUAGUGCAUUAGAUUUAGGCCCAUGGACUUUCUGGUUGUGCCCGAGGUAAG
This is a non-coding RNA of Delphinapterus leucas (beluga whale), 1178 nucleotides long. Lineage: Eukaryota; Metazoa; Chordata; Mammalia; Artiodactyla; Monodontidae. The record is from RefSeq and is a predicted model, not a curated record.